Molecule: ribosomal RNA, 478 nt
Filed under: uncultured Alphaproteobacteria bacterium
Lineage: Bacteria; Pseudomonadati; Pseudomonadota; Alphaproteobacteria
Description: bacterial SSU rRNA
Rfam family: Bacterial small subunit ribosomal RNA
Source: RNAcentral
GAGUUUGAUCGUGGCUCAGAGCGAACGCUGGCGGCAGGCCUAACACAUGCAAGUCGAACGGCUCGUUCGGAGCAGGUGGCGGACGGGUGAGUAACGCGUGGGAACGUCGCCCUUUGGUUCGGGAACAAACACAGGGAAACUUAGUGCUAAUACCGGACUGUGCCCUUCGGGGAAAGGAGUUUAUACGCCAUUUGGAGCGGCCCGCGUUGGAUUAGGUAGUUGGUGGGGUAAAGGCCACCAAGCCGACGAUCCAUAGCUGGUCUGAGAGGAUGAUCAGCCACACUGGGACUGAGACACGGCCCAGACUCCUACGGGAGGCAGCAGUGGGGAAUCUUGCGCAAUGGGCGAAAGCCUGACGCAGCCAUGCCGCGUGAAUGAUGAAGGUCUUAGGAUUGUAAAAAUUCUUUUCACCGGGGAAGAUAAUGACGGUACCCGGAGAAGAAGCCCCGGCUAACUUCGUGCCAGCAGCCGCCGUAAC